ACAGCGCCAAAGCCGCGAGGCUCACUACACACAGGAUCGCUCUUAGCGUCCCCUUUCGUGAGCGGGCUAAGGUCUGAGUAUUCUAGGCCCCCUCGAUCGACUCUCGCAGAGUCCAGCGUCAACAGCGCUGAACAGUACACCAGAGAAACUGCGUGCAGUCCCAGCGAUCCCAAGAUUCUCUUUAUCAGAGUUGAGGACGAGACUGUGGUGCUUUGGGAUAUGCUGUGGGGUCUGGGCAGAUUCUCGUUCGUUGGGAUUGCGUGGCGUGCCUAUCACUGGUCUCUUGUGCCGCUCAGGCGCACUUUGGUUCAUCGGGUGACCACGUGCACGGAAUCUCAGACGAAAGGCGUCUUAGAGGGAUUCCAUAAGAUCCCCAAACGAGACGUCAGGCUAACGUCUUCGGCGUUUUGGGGCUUCGUAGAGGUGGAUCACUUCCUAUGGCGCUGGGUUUUGAACGUAAAUGGGUCGCACGAUCCAUGUGUCCGGGACCAGCAGGAGGGCUAGAAGUUAUGCGUCCCAGCGCACACGAGCAUCUGUCUUUCAGUGCCAUUCACGGCUCGUGAUGCCUUCGGGCUCAUGAAACUCGAUUCAGACUACUCUUGCGCUGU
This is an RNase P RNA of 608 nucleotides. It matches the Rfam family "Nuclear RNase P". Rfam says of the family: Ribonuclease P (RNase P) is a ubiquitous endoribonuclease, found in archaea, bacteria and eukarya as well as chloroplasts and mitochondria.